Molecule: transfer RNA, 69 nt
Filed under: Ictidomys tridecemlineatus (thirteen-lined ground squirrel)
Lineage: Eukaryota; Metazoa; Chordata; Mammalia; Rodentia; Sciuridae
Description: Spermophilus tridecemlineatus (thirteen-lined ground squirrel) tRNA
Rfam family: tRNA
About the family: Transfer RNA (tRNA) molecules are approximately 80 nucleotides in length. Their secondary structure includes four short double-helical elements and three loops (D, anti-codon, and T loops).
Source: Rfam by way of RNAcentral
GGGGCUGUGGCUCAGUGGUAGAGCGCUCGCCUGGCAUGUGUGAGGCCCUGGGUUCUGCCCCUAGCACCA